This 107-nucleotide small nucleolar RNA is filed under the name Jatropha curcas. RNAcentral's name for it is "Plant small nucleolar RNA R71". It matches the Rfam family "Plant small nucleolar RNA R71". From Rfam's summary of the family: R71 is a member of the C/D box family of snoRNAs containing the C (UGAUGA) and D (CUGA) box motifs. Multiple nearly identical copies of this snoRNA have been identified in Arabidopsis, and it is thought to function as a 2'-O-ribose methylation guide for 18S ribosomal RNA. Lineage: Eukaryota; Viridiplantae; Streptophyta; Magnoliopsida; Malpighiales; Euphorbiaceae. The record is from Rfam by way of RNAcentral.
AAACUAUGAUGUGGGCACUUUCUCAAUAAGUCCUUGAAUCUUUCCCAAGCUUCGUACAAAUUCUCAUGAUCAUGGUGGACAAAGGUCAUUAUAUCAUUGCGCAGUUU